Molecule: ribosomal RNA, 497 nt
Filed under: uncultured bacterium
Lineage: Bacteria
Description: partial 16S ribosomal RNA
Rfam family: Bacterial small subunit ribosomal RNA
Source: RNAcentral
GAUGAACGCUGGCGGCGUGCCUAAUACAUGCAAGUCGAGCGAACAGACGAGGAGCUUGCUCCUCUGACGUUAGCGGCGGACGGGUGAGUAACACGUGGAUAACCUACCUAUAGGACUGGGAUAACUUCGGGAAACCGGAGCUAAUACCGGAUAAUAUAUUGAACCGCAUGGUUCAAUAGUGAAAGACGGUUUUGCUGUCACUUAUAGAUGGAUCCGCGCCGCAUUAGCUAGUUGGUAAGGUAACGGCUUACCAAGGCGACGAUGCGUAGCCGACCUGAGAGGGUGAUCGGCCACACGGGAACUGAGACACGGUCCAGACUCCUACGGGAGGCAGCAGUAGGGAAUCUUCCGCAAUGGGCGAAAGCCUGACGGAGCAACGCCGCGUGAGUGAUGAAGGUCUUCGGAUCGUAAAACUCUGUUAUUAGGGAAGAACAAAUGUGUAAGUAACUAUGCACGUCUUGACGGUACCUAAUCAGAAAGCCACGGCUAACUACGUG